GGUACACCGGGUGACGUGG
Molecule: microRNA, 19 nt
Filed under: Populus tomentosa
Lineage: Eukaryota; Viridiplantae; Streptophyta; Magnoliopsida; Malpighiales; Salicaceae
Description: pto-smR12
Source: RNAcentral